This 23-nucleotide non-coding RNA is filed under the name Arabidopsis thaliana (thale cress). The record is from RNAcentral. Lineage: Eukaryota; Viridiplantae; Streptophyta; Magnoliopsida; Brassicales; Brassicaceae.
ACAAUACUCUUUUAUGUUGUCUA